UAAUACGUAGGGGGCAAGCGUUAUCCGGAAUUACUGGGCGUAAAGGGUGCGUAGGUGGUUUGACAAGUCAGGGGUCAAAGGCUACGGCUUAACCGUAGUAAGCCCUUGAAACUGUCGAACUUGAGUGCAGGAGAGGUAAGUGGAAUUCCUAGUGUAGCGGUGAAAUGCGUAGAUAUUAGGAGGAACAUCAGUGGCGAAGGCGACUUACUGGACUGUAACUGACACUGAGGCACGAAAGCGUGGGGAGCAAACAGG
Molecule: ribosomal RNA, 255 nt
Filed under: uncultured bacterium
Lineage: Bacteria
Description: partial 16S ribosomal RNA
Rfam family: Bacterial small subunit ribosomal RNA
Source: RNAcentral